GCACCGGCUAACUCUGUGCCAGCAGCCGCGGUAAUACAGAGGGUGCGAGCGUUAAUCGGAAUUACUGGGCGUAAAGCGAGUGUAGGUGGCUAAUUAAGUCACAUGUGAAAUCCCUGGGCUUAACCUAGGAACUGCAUGUGAUACUGGUUAGCUAGAGUAUGUGAGAGGAAAGUAGAAUUCCAGGUGUAGCGGUGAAAUGCGUAGAGAUCUGGAGGAAUACCGAUGGCGAAGGCAGCUUUCUGGCAUAAUACUGACACUGAGACUCGAAAGCGUGGGUAGCAAACAGGAUUAGAUACCCUGGUAGUCCACGCCGUAAACGAUGUCUACUAGCCGUUGGGGCCCUUGAGGCUUUAGUGGCGCAGUUAACGCGAUAAGUAGACCGCCUGGGGAGUACGGCCGCA
RNAcentral lists this ribosomal RNA (401 nucleotides) under uncultured bacterium. RNAcentral describes it as "bacterial SSU rRNA". It matches the Rfam family "Bacterial small subunit ribosomal RNA", at positions 490 to 890 of the family's 1533-position model. The record is from RNAcentral.